RNAcentral lists this ribosomal RNA (627 nucleotides) under Savalia sp. MISE-IWA2. RNAcentral describes it as "partial large subunit ribosomal RNA". It matches the Rfam family "Eukaryotic large subunit ribosomal RNA", at positions 149 to 628 of the family's 3401-position model. Lineage: Eukaryota; Metazoa; Cnidaria; Anthozoa; Zoantharia; Parazoanthidae. The record is from RNAcentral.
UUUCGAGAAGCACUUUCUAGGCGGAUCGGACCUGUCUAAGUUGCUUGGAACAGCACGUCAGAGAGGGUGACAACCCCGUCCGUGACGGGUCCGGCCGCUGACGAUGUGUUUUCGAAGAGUCGGGUUGUUUGGGAAUGCAGCCCAAAACGGGUGGUAAACUCCAUCUAAAGCUAAAUACAGGCACGAGACCGAUAGCGAACAAGUACCGUGAGGGAAAGAUGAAAAGAACUUUGAAAAGAGAGUUAAAAAGUACGUGAAACCGUUGAAAGGGAAACGAAUGGAGUUAGCAAUGCACCCUGCAAGAUUCAGCCGGCGGGCGGCGCGGACGGGCGGUUGGCGGAUCCGAAUGGACCGCCGUCGUCCGGCUCGCGUCCCCCUCCGUCGCACUUCUUGCGGGUGCGCGUCAACGUCGGUUCGGUCCCGGUUUGAAGGCUCGCGGUAAGGUAGGUCGGACUGCCCUCGGGCCGUCCUUCUGUUACAGACCGCGUCCCCAUGGCCGGGACCGGACCGAGGCGUCGCAGCGCAUGCCUCUUGUGGCUAGGGUCCCUUCGCGCCGGUCGGUUGUCGACCGCGGUGGACUGCUUGCAGUGCACCCGAACCGCUGCCGGUCGCCGCGGAGGUGACGUC